This 1263-nucleotide ribosomal RNA is filed under the name Triticum aestivum (bread wheat). Its description in RNAcentral is "partial small subunit ribosomal RNA". The record is from RNAcentral. Lineage: Eukaryota; Viridiplantae; Streptophyta; Magnoliopsida; Poales; Poaceae.
AUGCCGCACGAGCAUGAGCACCCUGCAGCAGAGGACAUCCCCGAAUCUGAUCCCGACGAGUGUGUAGGAGUACAUGUCAAGAAAGCAGAGUUGCACAUACGAGAUAUACAUGAAGCGAAACUUUUGAUCCAAGAGCUGAAUCGAUCGGGCGUGGGAGAGGACAUCAGCGAUGAGGAGUUCCUUGCUUACUUUGACCAGCUGGCUCCCGGGCCUCCGUGGAUUGAUCUUAGAGCCGGGCUGACAGAAGAGGAUCUCGGUCAGCAAUACGUCGACCAUGCACUGUGCCGCUUCAGAUAUUACAAAUACAAGUUGCCACAGCCCAAGGAAGAGCCGCAUGGUGAUAACCUUCUGGAGGAGGAAGAGGACGAUAAGGAAGAAAGGGAAUAUUUAGCUACAUUGACAAAGAAGCAACUUCUAUUCCUUGAGGAAGAUGACGCUACAUCGGAAGAGGAUGAUAACCUUAUGGAUAAAACUGAGGAUGAUUGUAGUAUGGAGUUUCUUGAGGAGAAGGGAUUUUUCAUUAGCUUUGAAGAAGACGGAACACUCGAUUGGUUUUUCUACUCUGCUUACUGCGAAUGUGCUUCCCUGAGUGACUAUCAACGCCUAGUCCUAAAAAAUUAUGGUGGUACCGAGUACAGCAUGUGGAGUGUCUACCCUAGCUACCGUCAUAGCUAUGAUAUUGAACGAGAGUAUCUCAAGUACUGCCAGGAAUUAUCCAAGCAACUGAAGUGGAUGGAAGAUUAUGUCGAUAUUUGCCGCUCAUCCGUCAAAUGGGGUAAAAUAUCUUCCCGAGGAGCAUUUCAAGCAAUUAAGAUUGCUGCUACUAGCUUUCCCAAGAUCACUCCUACUUUAGCUUACAAUGGCUUUGAUGAGUAUAAAGAGCGCAUUUGCUAUUAUCAUACUUGGUUUAAGGAGUAUGAUCGUUUGUACUUUGAGAUUUGGCGGCGUGUCACAAAGGGAACGAGUUUCAGAAAGGCUAUGGAGGAUGUUUGCAAGAUGAACAAGUUUCCAGUACGACAAGGUUUAAUGCAAACUGCCCUGGACCAUGAGUACACCAUGACGUUGAUGGAAGAGGACUUUCAUACCUGCACGGCAGCCAUUCGCCCUGGAGUUAAAGAGGAUAAAGCUAAGGAGUUGAUCGCAGACGGAGUUAAAAAGCUGGUUAAUAUGCCCAAGUCCUAUGAGGAUUAUAUCAGAAAAAAGAUAGAGAUCGCAUGCAUUACUGGAAUUCUUCCUUCUGAGAAGACUGAGGCAACAGUAUAA